This 726-nucleotide ribosomal RNA is filed under the name Ligur ensiferus. RNAcentral describes it as "eukaryotic LSU rRNA". It matches the Rfam family "Eukaryotic large subunit ribosomal RNA", at positions 68 to 647 of the family's 3401-position model. The record is from RNAcentral. Lineage: Eukaryota; Metazoa; Arthropoda; Malacostraca; Decapoda; Hippolytidae.
ACCGGGAUUCCCUGAGUAAGGGCGACUGAACGGGACUUAGCCCAGCGCAGAACCUGGCGGUCGUUUAGUGGCCGUGCAGGGGUGUUGCGUUCCGGUGCAUCUUUGCCGCCCUCGCCGCUCACCGCCUAAGUCAUUGCUUGAAAGCAGCCCCGAGGAGGGUGAUAGGCCCGUGUGGCGGCGCCUGUAAAAAGGGUGAAGGCGGGGAGGGCGGGUGGAUGUUUACCGUAGAGUCGGGUUGCUUAGUAGUGCAGCCCUAAGGAGGUGGUAAACUCCAUCUAAGGCUAAAUACUACCACGAGUCCGAUAGAGAACAAGUACCGUGAGGGAAAGCUGAAAAGGACUUUGAAGAGAGAGUUCAAGAGGACGUGAAACCGUUAGAAGCUUAAACGGGUGGAACCGCGAAGGUCGACCGAGGGGAUUCAGGUGGUGGGCGUGUGGGGUGGUAUUGGCGUCUGUUUUGAAUUUUUUUGAUAGGACCCUGGGUGAAUUUGAAUUGCCUGGGCUGCGCCUUUCCCCCCGCAUUGCCUUUUGGCUUACUUCUCCCUCGGUUUGGUCGCCGCGACCCGUGUUGGGGACCCCUAGGGCCGUGCCGGAUUGGUAGCCCGGACUGAAAAGUUCGGGUGAUGACCGGGUUUGCGGUGCCGCCGGGUCCCCGAGAUGGUCACGUUGGCAGGAGGUUGCUUUGAGCGGCCUCUCGCGGCGUGCAAGGGAUCGGACAUCCACCCGA